GAUGAACGCUGGCGGCGUGCCUAACACAUGCAAGUCGAGCGAUCUUCUUCGGAAGAGAGCGGCGGACGGGUGAGUAACGCGUGGGUAACCUGCCUCAUACACAUGGAUAACAUACCGAAAGGUAUGCUAAUACAAGAUGAUAUAAGAGAUUCGCAUGGAUUUCUUAUCAAAGCUCCGGCGGUAUGAGAUGGACCCGCGUCUGAUUAGCUAGUUGGUAAGGUAACGGCUUACCAAGGCGACGAUCAGUAGCCGACCUGAGAGGGUGAUCGGCCACAUUGGAACUGAGACACGGUCCAAACUCCUACGGGAGGCAGCAGUGGGGAAUAUUGCACAAUGGGCGAAAGCCUGAUGCAGCAACGCCGCGUGAGCGAUGAAGGCCUUCGGGUCGUAAAGCUCUGUCCUCAAGGAAGAUAAUGACAGUACUUGAGGAGGAAGCCCCGGCUAACUACGUGCCAGCAGCCGCGGUAAUACGUAGGGGGCUAGCGUUAUCCGGAUUUGCUGGGCGUAAAGGGUGCGUAGGUGGUUUCUUAAGUCAGGAGUGAAAGGCUACGGCUCAACCGUAGUAAGCUCUUGAAACUGGGAAACUUGAGUGCAGGAGAGGAAAGUGGAAUUCCUAGUGUAGCGGUGAAAUGCGUAGAUAUUAGGAGGAACACCAGUAGCGAAGGC
This 666-nucleotide ribosomal RNA is filed under the name uncultured Clostridium sp. Its description in RNAcentral is "bacterial SSU rRNA". It matches the Rfam family "Bacterial small subunit ribosomal RNA", at positions 28 to 722 of the family's 1533-position model. The record is from RNAcentral. Lineage: Bacteria; Bacillati; Bacillota; Clostridia; Eubacteriales; Clostridiaceae.